UCUAUGAAGAGUACAAGAAUUUGUGAGUAAUAUUUAUUUGAUACGAAAUCAUACUCGAUGAAGUAGGAA
RNAcentral lists this non-coding RNA (69 nucleotides) under unclassified sequences. RNAcentral describes it as "RAGATH-18 RNA". It matches the Rfam family "RAGATH-18 RNA". Rfam says of the family: Actinobacteria, Firmicutes, Fusobacteria, Thermotogae (1 example). Nearby to self-cleaving ribozyme genes The record is from Rfam by way of RNAcentral.